RNAcentral lists this ribosomal RNA (429 nucleotides) under bacterium. RNAcentral's name for it is "partial 16S ribosomal RNA". It matches the Rfam family "Bacterial small subunit ribosomal RNA", at positions 355 to 776 of the family's 1533-position model. The record is from RNAcentral.
UGGGGAAUCUUCCGCAAUGGACGAAAGUCUGACGGAGCAACGCCGCGUGAGUGAUGACGGCCUUCGGGUUGUAAAGCUCUGUUAAUCGGGACGAAUGGUUCCUGUGCGAAUAGUGCAAGGAUUUGACGGUACCGGAAUAGAAAGCCACGGCUAACUACGUGCCAGCAGCCGCGGUAAUACGUAGGUGGCAAGCGUUGUCCGGAAUUAUUGGGCGUAAAGCGCGCGCAGGCGGAUUGGUCAGUCUGUCUUAAAAGUUCGGGGCUUAACCCCGUGAUGGGAUGGAAACUGCCAAUCUAGAGUAUCGGAGAGGAAAGUGGAAUUCCUAGUGUAGCGGUGAAAUGCGUAGAUAUUAGGAAGAACACCAGUGGCGAAGGCGACUUUCUGGACGAAAACUGACGCUGAGGCGCGAAAGCCAGGGGAGCGAACGGG